GAGUUUGAUCCUGGCUCAGAUUGAACGCUGGCGGCAGGCCUAACACAUGCAAGUCGAGCGGCAGCGGGAAAGUAGCUUGCUACUUUUGCCGGCGAGCGGCGGACGGGUGAGUAAUGCCUGGGGAUCUGCCCAGUCGAGGGGGAUAACUACUGGAAACGGUAGCUAAUACCGCAUACGCCCUACGGGGGAAAGCAGGGGACCUUCGGGCCUUGCGCGAUUGGAUGAACCCAGGUGGGAUUAGCUAGUUGGUGAGGUAAUGGCUCACCAAGGCGACGAUCCCUAGCUGGUCUGAGAGGAUGAUCAGCCACACUGGAACUGAGACACGGUCCAGACUCCUACGGGAGGCAGCAGUGGGGAAUAUUGCACAAUGGGGGAAACCCUGAUGCAGCCAUGCCGCGUGUGUGAAGAAGGCCUUCGGGUUGUAAAGCACUUUCAGCGAGGAGGAAAGGUUGGUGGUUAAUACCUGCCAGCUGUGACGUUACUC
Molecule: ribosomal RNA, 484 nt
Filed under: uncultured bacterium
Lineage: Bacteria
Description: bacterial SSU rRNA
Rfam family: Bacterial small subunit ribosomal RNA
Source: RNAcentral